RNAcentral lists this ribosomal RNA (322 nucleotides) under uncultured eukaryote. Its description in RNAcentral is "partial 18S ribosomal RNA". It matches the Rfam family "Eukaryotic small subunit ribosomal RNA", at positions 1470 to 1796 of the family's 1831-position model. The record is from RNAcentral.
CCCUUAGAUGUUCUGGGCCGCACGCGUGCUACACUGAGUGGAUCAGCGGGUCAGGUUGCGCGAAAGUGUUUCCUAAUCUUUAAAUCCGCUCGUGAUGGGGAUUGACGGUUGCAAUUUUCCGUCAUGAACGAGGAAUACCUUGUAAGCGCGGGUCAUCAUCCCGCGCUGAAUACGUCCCUGCCCUUUGUACACACCGCCCGUCCCUCCUACCGAUUGAGUGGUCCGGUGAGGCUUUGGGAUCUGAGCGGAAAGAGCGUUUCGCUGUUUCUGCCCGGAAAACUCAGUCGAACCUUAUCAUUUAGAGGAAGGAGAAGUCGUAACA